Molecule: non-coding RNA, 239 nt
Organism: Paramisgurnus dabryanus
Lineage: Eukaryota; Metazoa; Chordata; Actinopteri; Cypriniformes; Cobitidae
Source: RefSeq, a predicted model, not a curated record
UCAUCAUCUACAUAAAUAUGCUUGUUUAUUGUUGAUUUUGAAGAGGUCUGUAGUUUUGGGAGUGUUUCUCUGUGCAGUCUUUUCUCCGGUCCAUCCAGCAUGCUCGCAGGCUGGACACAAGGGACCAGGUGCAGUAAGAUUUUGUCAGGACACAACUGAUAAAACCUGGCAUCCUGUUGGUUCCACUUGGAGGAACAGUAAGUGUAUGGACUGUGAUUGUACUGCUGAGUCAAUGAGAU